RNAcentral lists this ribosomal RNA (497 nucleotides) under uncultured bacterium. RNAcentral describes it as "partial 16S ribosomal RNA". It matches the Rfam family "Bacterial small subunit ribosomal RNA", at positions 28 to 507 of the family's 1533-position model. The record is from RNAcentral.
GAUGAACGCUGGCGGCGUGCCUAAUACAUGCAAGUCGAGCGAACAGACGAGGAGCUUGCUCCUCUGACGUUAGCGGCGGACGGGUGAGUAACACGUGGAUAACCUACCUAUAAGACUGGGAUAACUUCGGGAAACCGGAGCUAAUACCGGAUAAUAUAUUGAACCGCAUGGUUCAAUAGUGAAAGACGGUUUUGCUGUCACUUAUAGAUGGAUCCGCGCCGCAUUAGCUAGUUGGUAAGGUAACGGCUUACCAAGGCAACGAUGCGUAGCCGACCUGAGAGGGUGAUCGGCCACACUGGAAGUGAGACACGGUCCAGACUCCUACGGGAGGCAGCAGUAGGGAAUCUUCCGCGAUGGGCGAAAGCCUGACGGAGCAACGCCGCGUGAGUGAUGAAGGUCUUCGGAUCGUAAAACUCUGUUAUUAGGGAAGAACAAAUGUGUAAGUAACUAUGCACGUCUUGACGGUACCUAAUCAGAAAGCCACGGCUAACUACGUG